Molecule: ribosomal RNA, 253 nt
Filed under: uncultured bacterium
Lineage: Bacteria
Description: partial 16S ribosomal RNA
Rfam family: Bacterial small subunit ribosomal RNA
Source: RNAcentral
UACAGAGGUGGCAAGCGUUGUUCGGAAUUACUGGGCGUAAAGGGCGCGUAGGCGGCCAUCUAAGUCAGACGUGAAAUCCCCCGGCUUAACCUGGGAACUGCGUCUGAUACUGGAAGGCUUGAGUAUGGGAGAGGGAUGUAGAAUUCCAGGUGUAGCGGUGAAAUGCGUAGAUAUCGUCAAGAACACCUAUAGCGAAGGCAGCUUACUAGGCUGUAACUGACGCUGAGGCACGAAAGUGUGGGGAUCAAACAGG